Molecule: ribosomal RNA, 376 nt
Filed under: Pandoraea sp. CAS25
Lineage: Bacteria; Pseudomonadati; Pseudomonadota; Betaproteobacteria; Burkholderiales; Burkholderiaceae
Description: bacterial SSU rRNA
Rfam family: Bacterial small subunit ribosomal RNA
Source: RNAcentral
CCUUACCUACCCUUGACAUGUACGGAAUCCUGCUGAGAGGUGGGAGUGCUCGAAAGAGAACCGUAACACAGGUGCUGCAUGGCUGUCGUCAGCUCGUGUCGUGAGAUGUUGGGUUAAGUCCCGCAACGAGCGCAACCCUUGUCCUUAGUUGCUACGCAAGAGCACUCUAAGGAGACUGCCGGUGACAAACCGGAGGAAGGUGGGGAUGACGUCAAGUCCUCAUGGCCCUUAUGGGUAGGGCUUCACACGUCAUACAAUGGUCGGUACAGAGGGCUGCCAAACCGCGAGGUGGAGCUAACCCCAGAAAACCGAUCGUAGUCCGGAUCGCAGUCUGCAACUCGACUGCGUGAAGCUGGAAUCGCUAGUAAUCGCGGAU